UACGUAGGGGGCUAGCGUUGUCCGGAAUCAUUGGGCGUAAAGAGCUCGUAGGCGGCUUGUCACGUCGGAUGUGAAAGCCCGGGGCUUAACCCCGGGUCUGCAUUCGAUACGGGCAGGCUAGAGUGUGGUAGGGGAGAUCGGAAUUCCUGGUGUAGCGGUGAAAUGCGCAGAUAUCAGGAGGAACACCGGUGGCGAAGGCGGAUCUCUGGGCCAUUACUGACGCUGAGGAGCGAAAGCGUGGGGAGCGAACAGG
RNAcentral lists this ribosomal RNA (253 nucleotides) under uncultured bacterium. RNAcentral's name for it is "partial 16S ribosomal RNA". It matches the Rfam family "Bacterial small subunit ribosomal RNA", at positions 524 to 776 of the family's 1533-position model. The record is from RNAcentral.